AACGCAUAUUGCACCUCCUGGGUAACUGGGAGGUAUGUCUGUUUGAGUAUCAUUUUACUCUCUCCUCUAUUACUUUUGUAGUAGAGGGAUUUGGGUGUCACCUGAGGGCGACACCUUGAAUGAAGGGGCGUGCAACACUUAGCGCGAGAGAGUCUGAAAGGACGCAUAGCGCACCAGUCGCAUAAUCUUACCAUGCCAAACGCAGUGGUGAGGUUGAUGGUGCUGUAGUAUGUGUGUUCUGUAGGGCUUUCUUUGAGUUGUCCAAUGGAUGCGCUUUUAACGUGAUCUCAAAUCAGACAAGAGUACCCGCUGAACUUAA
This 319-nucleotide unclassified non-coding RNA is filed under the name uncultured fungus. RNAcentral's name for it is "partial contains 5.8S rRNA and ITS2". The record is from RNAcentral. Lineage: Eukaryota; Fungi.